CUCGGCUUGGCAGGGACAAUGGGGGGGAGGGAAGGGGGGAGAUAAGGGGCUGGCUGAGGGACCGUGGCGGGGAGCAGAGCCCUCUGGGGUGUCUGGGCCCCCCACACGCCCUGUGUGCUGGGCCUGGUCCCUGCCCCACUUCCCGCUGGGCCUGCAUGGCUAACACGCCCUCCCCCUCGUAGGGCGACAGGGGCUUCGAGGGGCUGCCGGGGCUGCCGGGCGAGAAGGGUCUCAAGGUAAGUGUGAGCCCCCCCCCGGCCCCCUGGGGCAGGUGUGAGCCCCCUGCCCCAGUCCCACAAGCUUCACCUCUCACUCUCUCUCCUGCAGGGGGACGUGGGGAAGCCGGGGCCCCCGGGCCCCCCAGGAGAGAAUGGAGCCAAGGGCUUGGGCGGCCUGCCAGGACCCAGGGGGCAGCCUGGGGAACCCGGUGUGCGCGGCUUGGUCGGCUCCCGUGGCCCCCCUGGCCCCCCAGGACAGCCGGUAGGAGCCCUGUCUAUGUGCCCCCCAUGUGUUUGCUGCCCCCCACUGAUGCUCUCCCCUUCCCCCGCAGGGCGUGAGUGGCAUGGACGGCGCGCCUGGGCCCAAGGGCAACGUGGGAAUCCAGGGGGAGCCGGGCCCCCCCGGCCAGCAGGGGACCCCAGGACCCCAGGGCCUGCAUGGCCCCCAAGGGCCCGUCGGGAUGCCGGGAGGGAAGGGCCCGCCUGGGAAGCGGGGCAUGCAGGGCGUGGCUGGUGCCGAUGGCCCCCCCGGCACAGCUGGCGCCGUGGGACCCGUUGGUUACCCAGGCCCCCGUGGGGUCAAGGUGGGUACGGCCAGGCCCCAGUGAAGGGACCCUCCCUCCCCU
This 844-nucleotide long non-coding RNA is filed under the name Gopherus agassizii (Agassiz's desert tortoise). RNAcentral's name for it is "lncRNA (ENSGAGG00000007217.1)". The record is from RNAcentral. Lineage: Eukaryota; Metazoa; Chordata; Testudines; Testudinidae.